Molecule: microRNA precursor, 104 nt
Filed under: Marmota monax (woodchuck)
Lineage: Eukaryota; Metazoa; Chordata; Mammalia; Rodentia; Sciuridae
Source: RNAcentral
AGUAGGAUAGUUGAGUCAUACAGAUGGUUCCAUUUCUAGUUUUUUGAGGAAUGUCUACACUGCUUUCCAGAGUGGUUGUACUAAUCUGCAGUCUCACCAACAAU